This 492-nucleotide ribosomal RNA is filed under the name uncultured bacterium. Its description in RNAcentral is "partial 16S ribosomal RNA". It matches the Rfam family "Bacterial small subunit ribosomal RNA", at positions 29 to 507 of the family's 1533-position model. The record is from RNAcentral.
AGUGAGCGCUGGCGGUAGGCCUAACACAUGCAAGUCGAACGGCAGCACAGUAAGAGCCUGCUCUUACGGGUGGCGAGUGGCGGACGGGUGAGGAAUACAUCGGAAUCUACUUUUUCGUGGGGGAUAACGUAGGGAAACUUACGCUAAUACCGCAUACGACCUACGGGUGAAAGCAGGGGAUCUUCGUACCUUGCGCGAUUGAAUGAGCCGAUGUCGGAUUAGCUAGUUGGCGGGGUAAAGGCCCUCCAAGGCGACGAUCCGUAGCUGGUCUGAGAGGAUGAUCAGCCACACUGGAACUGAGACACGGUCCAGACUCCUACGGGAGGCAGCAGUGGGGAAUAUUGGACAAUGGGCGCAAGCCUGAUCCAGCCAUACCGCGUGGGUGAAGAAGGCCUUCGGGUUGUAAAGCCCUUUUGUUGGGAAAGAAAAGCAGCAGGUUAAUACCCCGCUGUUCUGACGGUACCCAAAGAAUAAGCACCGGCUAACUUCGUG